CUCUCCCCAGGCAUCAAGUGAAUAGAGAAGAUUCUAUGGAUGUAGAAGAGGUCCCUGGGUUUCCGAAUUGCCACUGGAUUGCCUCUAUCAAAUACACAAGAGUUUCAUGAAUUUCUCUUCUCUGGCCAUUGACAUGAGUGUGCUUUCUGGAUGCAGGGGACCCAAGAUUCUUGGACAGAAUUCUCGCCGGGAGCCAACUCAGCCUGAUCUGCUGGCAUCUCUCAAGUAUCAGAAGUCAACAAAAUGGUUUGCCUUGAAGACUUGGCCAGAGCAGCAGCCAAAGUUCAUAAGGCUUUCGUAGAGAGAUUGUUUGUCUAAGAAAACAAAAUUCUAAGGGCUCCCAUUGUGCAGCUGGGGUGGCAAAAUGCAAACUAAUAUAAGGAAAAAAAAUGCUUUUCAUUUCCAUGGAAGAAAUGACCCAUCCUAUUGUUGAUAUUUCCUUUUCUGUGCUAACUUAUUCCAUUAAUUAGGCUCUCGUUUUAUGAGAUAAUUUCACUGCAUGCGUAUCUUCUUUUGGUUAUUACACAAGGACUGUUUUCUAUGGUUCAUAUCUAAGUCCAACCCUGGAAAAAUCUUUUUUUUUGAGACAGCCUUUUUUGUUUUGUUUUGAGACAAUACUCCCUCUGUUGCCCAGGCUGGAAUGCAGUGGUGAGAUCAUAGCUCACUGCAACUUCUGCCUCCUAGGCUCAAAAAAUCCUCCCACCUCAGCCUCCCAAGUAGCUGGGAUUGCAGGCAUAUGCCAUCACACCCGGCUAAUUUUUGGAUUUUUAGUAAAGUUUUGCCAUGUUGGCCAGGCUGAUCUUGAACUCCUGCCCUCAAGUGAUCUGCCCACCUUGACCUCCCAAAGUGCUGGGAUUACAGGUGUGAGCUACUGUGCUCAGCUCAGCCAUGGAACAAUCUUGAUGUAUAAUUUAUCUGCAGGUAUCUCCAUCUCUAUUUGCCACUCUUAGUAAAUGUUUUAGUUUGACAGUAAACGAGUUGAGACAUUAAUGAUUGAGAGAGCACCUAAGCAGCUCGAAGUGCUGGGAGUCUCUCCUAAAGAAUUAGAUGCACACAGCAUUUUUCCCUUACAGACACUUCACUGAGCAGUCAUGUUGGACUUGGGUGGCGUCUGCUAUUAGACACACUAUUCACCAAUAAAACCCUGAAAAUUGCAUUGCACAGGACUGAUAAAAAUAAGAUGACUUAAGAAACGUAUUUAUGGUAUAUAUACACAGAAAAAGAAUGAAAGUUUGAGGGGGUAUUGCCUCUGGGAGGAAGAGUUAUGAGUAGUUUGUAUUUCCUUUUUUGUUAAUCUGUAUUUCAUUUUUUAGGCAAUGCAAAUAUAUUAUUUAGACAACAAAAUACUUAUUAGAAAGAAAAGACAUGGUGGGUUUUUUCCCCUUUAUUCUUUGCUUUUCUAAGAGGAAACUUUGACUGCAAUUGCUUGUGAGUGAUACCUGUGUUCUGGUAGCUUAGGAAGACACAAUGUGGUUAGGGAAGGAUAAGAACAGAUGGCUUUAAUAAAUGUACUCAAGGCUAAUGUACCCUUCAUAGUCUCAGGCUUCAGAUCAGAUCUCUUAUCUAUGCUGGCACCAGGAUGUGGUUUUGAGUUCUCUGCUUUUUCUACAGCUUUAGGGAAAUCUGCAUGCAGGCACAUCUAAUUGUCCAAACCAAAAAUCACAUCCAGGAUGUGAGGCAGCCUGGGAGAGGUCAUUUUGAGUUCUGUAGUCUCCGAAGUAUAAAAACACAUAAACAUGUAUACAUACACACAUUAACACCCACACACUUUUGAAGGAAGAUGGAAUGGAAGACAAGCACCACAGUGAAACUUUAGAAGAAUUUCCCUUACAUUCAGGAAAAAAAGAUAGAGGGUCCAUUUUCAUCACUCUUAUUGCCAUUGUCUAGAAGAUAAGCCGUAAUAAGAUAAAAUAAAAAGUGUAUAGAACACUUGGAAAAAAAUAUAAAAGAUUGGUCCCAUUCUCCGAUGGCAUGAUAUUCAAAUGAAGAACCAACUAUAAACAGGUUGUUAUGAGCUGAAUGUUAAUGUGACCCCAAAAUUCAUAUGCUGAAAUCUUAACCCCAAAGGUGAUAGUGUUAGAUGGUGAGGCUUUUAGGAGUUGACACAGUGUAAUGCCUCUUCUAUGAAGAAGUGGGCCUUUGUCAGUUACCAAAUCUGCAGAGGCCUUGAUCUUGAACUUCCCAGCCUCCAGAGCUUGGAGGAAUGAAUGUUUAUUGUUUGUAAACCACCCAGUUUAUGGUAUUUUAUUAGAGCUGCUCAAAGGGUCUAAGACACAAGUAUAAGUCAUAAGUAAAUGCAUCAAAUUUGCUGAAUAUAAAUCAACAUAUAAAAAAUCAACAGCAUGCUUGGAUCCCUGGUAUGAAUCACAUCUGGUCAUGGCAAAUAAUCUAAAAAAAAAUAAUAAAAUAAUCAAUUUAAAAAAUUUAAAAAGCAACAGUAUUUACUAUUCAUUGCCAAUGACCAAUUAGAAAAUGGCAUAAACAUGACAUCUGUGAUAAGACAAAUACUCUAAGGUAACUAGAACUACAAGUAAUAAAAGAUGUGUACAGUUUACAGAGACGAUUGUAGAAAGCCAAAAAAAAUUAAAAGUGAAAACCUAAAUGGGAAGAAGCAUCAUGUAUAUUGGGUCAUAGUAGAUAUCAUAAUAUAAAUUAUAAAAUACAGAACAAAAUGAUAUAAAAUACUAAAUUUCAAAAUGUGUUGGAUAUAGCUAAAGCAGCACUAAAGAGGAAUUUAUAGGUUUAAAUACACGUAUUGGGGGAGGAAAGAGAUAAAGUUUGAUAUGGCGGUAAGCAUCCACUUAGGGAAAAGUACAAAAAGAAAAUAAUAGUAGAAAGUAAUAAAAUAGAAAAUAUAAAAGAGGUUUUUUAAAAAAUACUUACAAAAUGGACAGUCUUUAUGGGGAUUGAACAAGAACAAAGAAAGAAGGCACUGAUAACCAAUGUCAAGGAUAUGGAAGUGGAUAUGUGGAUAUAACUAAAAUGCUGCAGUUAUUCGAGAUAAGAGUAUUAUAAGUAACUGUAAGAUAACACAUUUAAAAACUUGGUCGAAAUGGUCAAAUUUGUAGAAAAGUAUAUCUCAACAAAACUGAUUCAAGAAAAAUAACCCAUUAAAAAAUAAAUCAGCAGUUACCUUUUAUUUAUUUAUUUUUGACAAGAAAAUAUCAAAUGGUUUUACUGGCAAGAUCUGCCAAAUAUUCAAGAAACAAGUAAUUUCAAUUUUGGACAGAAUUUUCCAGAGAAGAGAAAAUGGGAAGAGGGUUGUUCCUCAUUUUAUGAAGCUAGUAUACACAUCAGUGCCAACAUUUGACAAGGGAAGUUUGAAAAAGGAAAAUCACCGACUAAUCUCUCCCAUGAGCAGAGACUUAAAAAAUUCUAAACAAAAUAUUUGCCAACCAAAUCCGAAUAUAGAAAGGAUUGUACACCAUGAUCAAGUUGAGCUCAUCCUAGGAAUGUUUCCUUUAUGGUAACAUUCGGGAAAGCAAAAUACAUGGGUGCACAUGCAAGAGGUAGGAGAUUGAGACUGGGAGUCUGUAGAACUUCUGAUUUCAUCCAUUUUUUGCAAGUGAAUUAGAUUUUCUUUAAAAAGGUUAUUGGGUGAAGGCGCAGAUAGAGGAGCAGGUCUUGGAGAUUUAAGGGGAAAGGAAGUAUGAUACAGUCUUCUAGAAGACUGGAAGAGUAAAUGGAAUAUAGCGUGAUUGCAUUGGGGCUCCUCUGAGCUUUAUGGGCAUGAAUUUAAAGAUUAUUUGAGGCCCUGGUUUGUGCAGUAAGAAAAAUUUUGUUUAGGGAUUAGGAAGGAAGAAAUAAAACUAAAAAUCUCCCAUUAUUCACAGAUGACAUGAUGAUUCUUAUAGAAAACCCAAAAGAUAUUACUACAUCAAUAUAGAAAACUCAAUUACAUUUCUUUAUUUUUCUUUUUCUUUUCUUUUUUUUUUUUUUUUGCUUUAAGUUCUAGGAUACAUGUGCAGAACGUGCGGGUUUGUUACAUAGGUAUACAUGUGCCACGGUGGUUUCCUGCACCUAUCAACCCGUCAUCUAGGUUUUAAGCCCAGAAUGCAUUAGGUAUUUGUCCUAAAACUCUCCCUCCCCUUCCCCUACUCCCCCCAACAGGCCCUGGUAUGUGAUGUUACCCUCCCUGUGUCCCUGUGUUCUCAAUGUUCAACUCCUACUUAUGAGUGAGAACAUGCGGUGUUUGGUUUUCUGUUUCUGUGUUAGUUUGCUGAGGAUGAUGGUUUCCAGCUUCAGCCAUGUCGCUGCAAAGGACAUUAACUCAUUCGUUUUUCUGGCUGCAUAGUAUUCCAUGGUGUGUAGGCGCCACGUUUUCUUUAUCCAGUCUGUCAUUGAUGGGCAUUUGGGUUGGUUCCAAGUCUUUGCUAUUGCAAAUAGUGCUGCAAUAAACAUAUGUGUGCAUGUGUCUUUAUAGAAUGAUUUAUAAUGCUUUGGGUAUAUACCCAGUAAUGGGAUUGCUGGGUCAAAUGGUAUUUCUGGUUCUAGAUCCUUGAGGAAUCACCACACUUUCUUCCAUAAUGGUUGAACGAAUUUACACUCCCACCAACCAUGUAAAAGCAUUCCUAUUUCUCCAUGUCCUCACCAGCAUCUGUUGUUUCCAGACUUUUAAAUGAUCAUCAUUCUUACUGGCAUGAUAUGGUAUCUCAUUGUGAUUUUGAUUUGCAUUCCUCUAAUGGCCAGUGAUGAGUUUUUCUUAUGUUUUCUGGCCGCAUAAAUGUCUUCUUUUGAGAAGUGUCUGUUCAUAUCAUUCACCCACUUUUUAAUGGUUUUUUUCUUGUAAAUUUAAGUUCCUUGUAGAUUCUGGAUAUUAGACCUUUGUCAGAUGGAUAGAUCGCAAAAAUUUUCUCCAAUUCUGUAGGUUGCGUGUUCACUCUGAUGAUAGUUUCUUUUGCUGCGCAGAAGCUCUUCAGUUUAAUUAGAUCCCAUGUGCCAAUUUUGGCAUUUUUUGAAAAUGCUUUUGGUGUUUUAGUCAUGAAGUCUUUGCCCAUGCCUAUGUCCUGAAUGGUAUUGCCUAGGUUUUCUUCUAGGGUUUUUAUGGUUUUAGGUUUUAUGUUUAAGUGUAAGGAGGGAUACAUUUAAGCCAAAAAGGACAGUCUACAUCUCUGCUUAUUGUCCCAAGGCAGCAGAAAUACAAUUCAUAGAUCCCAACACUUAGCCUUCCCCACCCUAGUCACACAGCAUCCCUCAGCCUGCCAAGGGAAUUGGUUCUGCAGACACGAGGGAUUUGCCCGGGGAUAAAGACCCCUUCUGGUUCAGACAUCAGGAGAUACAAAUGCAAUACACCACAGCUGACACAACUGGACAUCUUCAGUGUUGCAGUCUCACCCUAUCUCUCUGCUUGCCAGCUCCAGCUCAUCGGGCCAGUUAUGAGAAGGAAAACAUAUUUUCUAAAAGCUUUCUUAAGUGUUCACAUGGCCAGCUGCCCUUGUUUGUUCUCCUGAGUACUGAGGUCACUGGAAGCCACAAAACCCAGCUGGGACCACUUCAAUGAGUUAUGCUCCAGGGAAAAUUAUGGUGUGAAAAGGUAAAAGGAAAUUUUGGAAACUGGUGGAAUCUUCAUGGAAGUGUCACCCUGGGCUAAUACCAAGGAUCUGACAUAGACAAAAGUAUGAAUUACUCUGCAGGCUCAGCGCCAAGGGCAAGGUCGUAAGAGCCUGAGAUGGUCUUAACAAAUUAAGUGAGGCAGGCAAAGUUCAGUUGCUUACUGUGAGCUGGACCCUUCUACAUUAUUAUUUUUAUCAUGGAGUCCAAUGUCCCCAUGUUGAUCCUAACAAGCCAAGUCCCACAUUGCAUCAUCCCACAUGGGCCGGCCUUCUCUGGGCAAAACUUCAAGAUGUGAAACUCCUUUUUUCUCCUCUCAAAAUGUGCCAGUCCUGAGUCUCCUGUAUUGGGUUCAUUAAUGUUAACAUACUUUUUCUGGUCUGCUACAAUGAUCCAGGCACUGCACUAUAGUCCAAAGGCACAAAACAAUAAAUUAGACUUGCCCCUUGUUCUCAGGACUGAAAAUGGUUCCAUUCACCAAAAAAACAGGUGAAAGUUUACCCAGCACCUAAACCUGUACUAAUGUAUUAAUUAAUGCAUCACAGUUUAUUUAUUCUACACUUAUUUUACUUGCCCCUGUAAUAUACCACUAGAUGCUUCAGUAUGGGAGAUAUUGAACUCUAAAGUUCUAAGGGUGCUGUGGUGGAGAUAUGGACAUAUCUCAAAAUUAGCAGGAAAUUUAAAUAGCGAUUUUAAGAGAAAGUAAGAUCUGGUUAUGAGAAAGGAUGAAGCUACUCUGGGUGAGAGAAAACUGAGAACUAUGCCCUAGGAAUAUCCAACAUUUAAAGUGUAAACAAAGAAAGUAAAGACAGAGAUGACAACUGAGAAAGAGUGGUAGUCACAGGAGACUCAAGUGAGUGUAGCUGGAAGAUGUCAUCAGAACCCUAGUUAAUAACAUGUGGUCUACCAUUGCUACAAUACAAUGCCCUCCAGCCAUCUCAGGCAGGUGGGCCUUUACUUUCCUCAAAUUACAUUCACAGAUGAACAACCCAUGCUCUAUGAAGGAGUCGGGCCUGCAUACUAUCCUUCCCAAUGAGGGAGAUGUGACAGUUCAGGAUUCAGGAAAGGACCAAAUGGACUCACCAGGCAAGUGUGCUUUAGGAUGGAGGGCAGGGUUGGCUCUGUGCCAGGAGUGUAGAUUUCAUCUGUUGGCUGCAAAUGUGUGCCAGUUCCCAAUGGAAUGCUACUGUUCUCUGACCUGCCCUCAACUCAUAACACAAGUCACAAUUCACUGGAGUUUCACAGUACGUUUCUGUGGAUGUUUGGAAUCAGAAAUGCAGACUCACAGAAUAGCUGUAUAGGAUUUAAAGAGAAUCGGCAGAGUUCAGGCUGCUCAUUUUACAGAGGAGGAGGCUGAGUCUGAAGACUUACUAAUUUGGCCAGGGUUGCAUGGCAGUUUAGCAGAGUAGUUAAACAAAUGGGCUUGAAACUCAAAGAGUCCCUGAGAAUCUUAAAUUGUGUGCCUUAGGCAAGUCUGCUAAAACUGCUAUGUCUCAGUUAACUCCUCUUAAAACUGAGUAAGAAUAACAUAUAUAUAUAUAUAUCAUAUAUUAUGAUACAUGAUAUAUACAUAAUUCAUGUAUUAUAUCAUGAUACAUGAUAUAUAUGUAUUAUUCAUGUAUAUGAUACAUGAUACAUAUAUCAUGUAACCUAUGAUAUAUAUCAUAUAUGAAGAUUAUAUAUAUAUCUCAGAGGUUAUUUGUAAGAGAUGAGAUAGUGAAUUCAAAGCACUUAGCAUGACAGCUAGCAUAUGGUGACACAGCUAUCAUGCAAAGCCAAGUCUUCUGACUCGUACUUUAGUGCUCUUUCCUCUGAACCAUGAUCCCUCCUUUAAAUAGAGAAGUUAAAAAUGAACUUACAGAGACAUUCUAUGUGUACCAACCCAACACUAUAGCACUUGAUUUAUGCAUUCAUUUUUAUAACAACUAUCAUUUGAGCAUCUAUGUACCAGGGUGCUGAUGUAACCAUGCUGAGUGCUGAGGUACUCAUGCUGAAUCAGAUGUGAUCUCUUCCCACUAAGGAGAGAGAAGAUUGUGCCUAUGGUAGCCAGGAAUGAGGUGCACUUGCAAGGAGUAGGGAGGAGUGGGGAGAGUCUAGAGGCAAGGAGAUGAGAUAGAAAGUUCUUGCCCUAAUUUAGGCAAGAGGCAGCAGGGUCCUGAAUUACCUUGGAGAAAAUGGAAAUUAGGGGAAAGGACAAAGAAAUGAGGUAGGAACAUGAGACUUACCCUUGACACAUGAUUAUUAUGUUUAUGAAAUAUUUGUUUUUGUGUUUCUGACAAGCAAUUUGCCUCCAGAAUUGCCAAAUGAGUCUGGUUGUUACUCCAGACUCAAGGUAACAUCUGCUUAUUGCUAGUGCAUAGACCAGGGCAGGUGAUGGGCUUUAGGCCUCUUAUCUAGCGUCUUACACAAAAUUGCAAGUAGACCCAGAAUUACUAGUGCCAGGGCUGCAGAAAUAGGAACUGUUUAGCCAGGUCUAUGACCAUCUGUUUUCCCUCCUGCCAAAUGCAUCGAGGGCAUGAUAGAUCUGGCUUAGAUGGUAACAAAGUGAGAGCAGAGUUGAGCAAAUAGACAAAUGUUUAUCUUUUGCAGGAAUGUGCACUUGGCUCUGGGGAUUGUAGCUGUCCAUCAGCAUCCACACUGGAUGAAACUGCUGAAGGAAGGGGCUCCGAAAACACCCACUUUCCUCAGCCUCUGCGGCCUUAACUCCAUGUGCCAGCAGGUCAGGCUAACAGGCUGUGGUGCUAAAGGCAUCAGGCAGACAUAUCUACUGGCCCAUUAAGAUUCUGUACCUAAACACUACCCACCCCGCCCACCCUGCCCCAGUGAUGGCCCUGCCUUUCCUGCCAGGCCUGCUCUCCUCCCCAAGAAAGGGAAAAUGGUUAGCAACUUUCAGAAACUAAAACAAACACAAAAGUUUGCCAACAUUAAACUCUGCUUCACAGCUAAAUGGACCAUAAACUUUCAGCACCUUGAACAAAACUUCAAUUCAAUCCCUUCUACAGGUGCUGUGGGCACAAAGACUGCACAGUGUAUUUUUGCCCUGGGAAAGAGUCUCAAAUUAUUAUUUUUGUAAAAAAAAAAAAAAAAAGAAAAGAAAAAGUUGCCUGGAAAAAAGUUUCAUUUUGUGCUUAGAAAAACAAGCCAAGAGGCAACGCACACCCCCUUUCUCUCCAUUCUCACUUCCCUGCACUCUCACGAGAAGAUUCCAGCCCACCUUGAAACCCAGCAUGGAUACUAGAGAAGACAUCUUUUUCUCCAGUUUUCAAAUAAGCCUCCAGGAUGAGGCACACGCAGACCUUUCCUGCUAGCCUGUAAUUCACCACCUUCUAAAAGGACCAGGUCAUGAUACAAAUGAAAGCAAUGAAAAGCACAGGCCUGCAUGCCCAAGGUCUGAGUCUUGCUCCCUGUCAUCUUCGGUGUGACCUUAGCGUGUCACUUGACCUCUCAGGUCUCACAUUUAGCAUCCAGACAACUCAGGACUUAAGUUCUCUUACAGCUCUAAAAUUCUGUAUGGGAAUGACAUCAAUAAAGUAAUAUAAUUUUUUGUUCAAACCAGCAAAGAUGUGCAAAUACAAGGGGUAGUGAAUAGCAAUUAUGCCUGGCAUCCAGCAGAACUGUGCUGGGAACCAAGACCUGUGGUUCUGAGGGCUGUCCAGAGAGCGCCACGGCCAUUCGCGUGCUAAACCUUUGCAACCUGAGCCCAGUAACAGGAACACAGAACAUUCUCCAGGAGUCUGGGGCCUUGCCUCCAUUCUCCAGCUGCUCCUCUCCCAUUGUUUUCCCUCUCUACACGACUGCCCUUUCUUGGGCUCCCCAUGCUCUAAGUUAAGUUGGCAGCAUGGCAGAGAUUGAGAGCACAGAUUCUGGUCUCAGACUGCAUGGGCUCAAAUUACAGCUUCAUAAUUUACCACAUGAUCUUGGGCAAGUUACUUAAACUCAAAGAUAGACUUUUCAAACAUUUUUUCACUGCAAUCCACAGUAAGAAAUAUAUUUAACAUAAAUAAUACUCUACGUGUGUGCACACACACACACAUACUCACAUAAAUUAAAAGAUUAAUAAAAAAUAAUUAUUUUUGAUAUUUUGUGAGCACCAUUUGAUUGGUCCUAUUCUAUGUAAAUUUCUAUAAAUGCUAGUCAUAAUCCAGCAAAUUGAUUUCAUGGUCUACUAAUGGUUUCAGACCCACAAUUUGAAAAACCCUGUUCUAAGCUUUAGUUUUCUCAUCUGUAAAAUGAAGAUAAUAUAAAUAAUAUCCUCUCUGUGGAGUUGUUAUGAAGAUGACUAAAAUGUUCAUAUAAAAGCGUUUGGCCACAGUGCAGGGUGGCUCACGCCUGUAAUCCCAGCACUUCGGGAAGUCAAGGCAGGCAGAUCACAUGAGGCCAGUAGCUCAAGACCAGCCUAGUCAACAUGUUGAAACCCUGUCUCUACAAAAAGUACAAAAAUUAGCCCAGCAUGGUGGUGCACACCUGUAGUCCCAGCUACUCAGGAGGCUGAGGCAGGAGAAUCACUUGAACCCGGGAGGUGGAGGUUGCAGUGAGCCAAGAUGGCACCACUGCAUUCCAUCCUGGGCAACAGAGUGAGACUCUGUGUCAAAAACAAACAAACAAACAAACAAAAGGUUUAGCUUGGAAGGUAAUAAGUGCUCAGUGAAUAUUAGUGUUAUUAUUACUCAAGGAAGGGCAUCAGUGUGAAAUAAAUCUUAUACUUCAAGUCCAAAAGGGAAGCUCCCAGUAAUCAUGCCCUUCAUGAACCUGUACAUGAAUCAAAUGGCUUUUCCCAUUGGGCAUGCAUGCCAUGCCAUCAAGCAAGUCAGAAUUUAAGCUUCUGUGCAGGUCAGUGAAGACAUGGUGCUUGCCACUGCAGCAGCAGCCAUCUUGCACACAUGAGGUGCCACACCUGAGGAAGGAAGAACAAAGCAAUGGAAAGACCAGUGUUUUGGUAUUACUGAGUUGCUGAACCAAUCCUGGAACUGGAUCUCAGGCUUUUUAUUUAAAUCAAUAAAAUCUCCUGAUGUUUAAAAGGCAAUUUUAUGCAAACCAGCUCAUUACCUCCUACAGUGUCCCUUCCCUCACCAACAGGAAGUGGCUCCACAUUUCAAUUGCCUUUUUGCCCUUGAGAAUCAGCAUUCCCUAAACCACCACUAUUAAAUUUGGGACUCUGAAACCACAGAAAUACCCUACAGUAGGAAAUCCCCCUUGGGUGCCUAGACUCUCUAUCACCUUUGCAAAGCUUUUAAGUAAAAAAGGAAAACCUCAGGCUUCCCACUUAGCCAUGGAAAGUGGUACCACCUUCAGAGGAAAGAUGGGGGAUUCAGGAGCACCACCUCCAAUUUUAGGAGGUGCCCCUGAUUUCCUCAAAUACUGACAGGUAAUUUAACCUAAACAAUGGAGAGGAGCCCUGCUUCAAGAUGCAGUGCUAGGCUCACCCUGACCAGCACUUGGUAGAUAAGAAAGAGAAAACAACUUACAAAUUCUUCAGUGAUGCUUGGCUCAGUACUUAGCUCGCUGGCUGGCUGACUUUGCAACUACUUCUAGUUAAGGGUUCCAAAGGACUGGAAGGUAAAUAACCAGCAAGGUGUCGUAACACUGAGACAGAGUGAAAUAUUAUUUCCACCCUCUCGUGACCUCGGUGGCCAUUUUCCAGCUCUAGGGCCAGUCUGCACAUGACGAUGAGUGGUAUCUGAUGGCUGGUCCUGGCAUGAAGUGUGAGGGAAUGCCAGUUUAGGACUUGAACCUUCCAUCUCCCACUGAUUCCAGUCAGAGUAAUCCAAACCUAGUCUGUCUUUUCUUUCCCUUAUGCUGCAAACUUUCCCCUGUUUUAGUCAAAAUACACCAGCUUAGUAAUUCUGGCUGCCACAGACUGAAUUUUGAGCCUCACCAGUUUCCAAAUAAUUAAGACAGAGAAAGUGAGUUAAAUAAAAUAUGGCCAGAUUAAAUAAACAAUUCGGUACUUUAGGAGAAGAAUUCAGGCUGGGUCUAAGAUAGGCGCCUAGCGCAGGGCUCUGCAGCAGACAUAAGGAAGUCUUAAGUUGGUUUUCAAUAGGUGUACCUAAGGGUGCAUUUGAUAACAACAACAAAAAGAGAGAUGGAAGCAAAUAUUUAACAAGCACCUAUUAUCUAUCAGGCACUACAUAUACAUUCUCUCAUUUUCUUCUUACAAAGUACACGUAUCCUAGCAAUUAUUUCCAUUUUAAAAAACUGAAAAUGAAAAAUUACUUGCUCAAGAUCAUAAAGCAAGUAAACAUUAGAAUUAGGAUUUAACCCUAGGCCCUUCUUGUGCAGGAGUCAUGCUCUUUCAAGCACACUGUGCUGUCCCCCGGGAAGAGUGAGGGUUAUCAGGAAAAGCAGUGGAAUGGCAGAAAAGAAGAAGGGGAAGGAUUUUAAAACAGGGAAAAGAAAGGACAGAAAUACAUAAAAAUAAGAAAUGGGAACAGGAAGGACUGCAAAGAUUAAGGAAGAACGGUUGGUGAGUACCUUGGCUAUUUAGUGGAAUUUGGUGAUUCAGAACUGGGAAUGGACAGUAAGCCCCUUCAAAUACCCUGGGGAAGCCAAGAUUGUCAUGGAGCUGUUCUUUUCUCUAUCUCAAGUACAAAUGUCUCAAAGAACUCUAAAAGCUACUUAAAGCAAGAGCAAGGAACUCAAACUAAGUUCUUAUUGAGUGGUGGCCAAAAAACAAGCUGGACGAGUUUCCAGAUGAUACUGCCGGGAUGAUUCUUUUAGCUGACAGUUACCAAAAAGGAAGGCUUUCAGGACAUGUCAAUAGCAGAUCUUACGCCUUCUCUGACCUCGGCCUUCCUCAGAGUCUUUUAGCUGUAAUGAGCAAAUAUUAGCAUAAGAGACAGGGACCAAAUAUUUGUUUAGUGUCUGUGUUGAUUAUUAAGCUGUUGCCUGUAAACUCCACACUCACCCUUCAUUCUCAGCUUUGUGUUGCUGGGGCUGGGCCUCUGUAAUCACAUUUCAGCUUUGCCAGAGGGAUUUCUCUUAGGCUGCCAGUAGUGGGGCACUAGAGGGAGUCUGGAGGCAGUGGGGAAGAAGGGAUUUGUUCCUUCUGUUUUUUUGCUGGUCCUGUCAGUAUCAUCCCAGCAGCCCUUAGCUCCAGUUUGCAGUUAUUUUCCUCACUACAAGAACACACUCCCUCAGUGAUAGCGUCUGUCAACCAGAACCUCCUCCCCAGAUAUUGAGUCCCUGUUUUGAGGGUCCCUGCUCUGAGUCUCCAACGCACCUGCCUCCACCAGGCAGCACCCCUCCCUCCUGGUCCAGUUUCCAGCUCUGCAGGGCCCUCCUCCAAGCUUCCAGAUCCCAGGCACCUGACGCAUCCCUUUUGUUCUCUCAGCCCUAGGGGUAGCGAUUGCUUCCUGCAGUUGCUAGCUCCGUGACCCUCCAGUGGUCCUCCUCCUCACUUUCAGUGCUUCAAUUCCUUAUAUUAAGUAUUCUUUAUUAGGAAAACUGAUGGGUGUCUGUUUUCUGGACUGGCCUUUACCUGAUUUGUUAUCACUUCUGUCUACGUCCAGGACAAUAUUGAGCAAUAUUCUGAGGCUAUACUGUGUUAAAAGGAAACUUCAGACAAAUUAAAUUUAACAGAGUUUAACUGAGCAAGAAAAAAAAAUUCAUAAAUUGGGCAGCCUCCAGAAUCACAACAGAUUCAGAGAGAGUCCAGGGAUGCCUUAUGGUCAGAACAAAUUUAUAGACAACAAAAGGGAAGUGACGUGCAGAAAUCAGAAGUGAGGUACAGAAACAGCUGGACUGAUUACAGCUCAACAUUUGCCUUUUUUGAACAAAUCUGAACACUCAGCAGUGUAUGAGUGGUUGACGUAUGGCUGCUGUGAUUGGCCAGACCUCAGCUAUUGUUACAGGCACAUACUCUUAAGUCAGGUUUUCAAUCCUAUCUGACUAUAAAGUUAGGUUACAGUUUGUCCUCAUGGACUCAAAUUUAGAAGUAUGGCGUCCUUCUCAGGCCAUAUUUAGUUCAGUUUAACAAGUGCAUAUGGCUUCUGACAAAGGUGUGGCCCCUUUAGGACUCCAAAGACGCUGUCACUUACAUGGUAUUCAGGGAGGACACAGAGGAUCUGUGAGCAGCCUGCAGCCAAGCUUUGAGAUCAUAUUGAGAUUUUUUUGUAAUAUAUGAGGAGUGUUCUGGCUCCUUUUAUUACUUUCUUCAUAGCAAAAAUUGGGGGUCCAAGUUGUCGUUAAAUUGAAACUCUCUCACUUACCCUGAAAAAGAUUUGACUGUGAGCAUAACAUUGUUACUUCAUUCAAGACAUGGAAGCAAAAGGGUUAAUUAGUGCUGCUCACAAAAUAGUUCUACUUUUUCUUCUUCCAAUUAUAUGAUUGGAUAACCCUUCCCUCCCUUGAAGUCAGGGUUGCCAUGUGGCUUACUUUGGUCAAUAGAAUAUGAUUGAGAGCAAUACUGUGGUACAUCCAUACAGUGGAAUAUUAUCCAGUGAUAAAAAAAAAAAAAAAAAGGAAAGAAAGAAAGCCACAAAAAGACAUGGAAGAGAGCCAAGCGCAGCGGCUCAUGCAUGUAAUCCCAGCACUUUGCGAGGCUGAAGUGAGUGGAUCACUUGAGCUCAGGAGUUCAAGACCAGCCUGAGCAACAUGGCAAAACCCCAUCUCUAAAAAAAAAUACAAAAAAAUUUUAGCUCAGUGUGACUCUGUGUGCCUGUAGUCCCAGCUACUGGGGAGGCUAAGGUGGAAGGAUCACUUGAGCUCAGGAGGUCAAGGCUGCACAAAGCUGCAAUGAGCAGAAAUCAUGCUUGGGCAACAGAGAGAGACCCUGUCUCAAAAUAUGUUAAUGAGAGAGAACUCUGGGCAAGGGGGUGGAGGGGCAGAGGAGGAGUGUGGGGAAGGGGAAGGAGUGCAUACCUGGAAACUCUACUUUCUGCAUAAUUUUUCUAUAAACCUGAAAUUGCUCUAAAAAGUAAAGUCUAUUUAAAAAUAAUAAAUAAGAAAGAAAUAUGAAUAUCACUUGUGUCACUUUUGUGUCAAAGCAUUAACGGCCAGCACAUGAUUUGCCUUGCCACUCCCUUCCUCUUGGUCUGUAGUCCAAUGCUCUACCUCUGAGCUAUACCCCUUCCUUGCCACUCCCUUCCUAAAGAUAAGCCUCCCUCAUUGGAUUAGAAUUCUCCGGAGAGACAGAGACAAUAAGAUAUAUAUAGAGAGAGAUGGAGAGAUAGAGAUAGGAAUUAUCACAGGAUUAUGGAGGCUGAGAAGUCCCGCAAUAAGCCAUCUAUAAGCUAGAGAACCAGGGAAGCCAGUAAUAUGAGUCAGUCUAAGCCUUAAGGCUUCAAAACCAGAGAUGUCAAUAGCAUAACUUUCACCACAAGACUGAAGGUCACAAGGCUGAAUGCCUGAGAAACUGGGGGGUCACUAAUCCAAGCCCCAGAUUCGAAAGGCUGGAUAGAGAACCUGGGGUUCUGAUGUCCAAGGGCAGGAGAAUAAGGGUGUCCCAGCUCCAGAAGGGAGUGAGCAAAUUCACCUUUCCUCUGGCUUUUUGUUCUAGUAGGACCUGAGCCAUAUGGACGAUGCCUGUCCACAUUGGGUGAGGCCACAUCUUCCUCACUCAGUCCACUGAUUCAAAUGCCAAUCUCUUUUGGAAACACCCUUAUAGACAUGCCCAGAAGUAAUGCUUUAUCAGCUAUCUGGGUACCACUUAAUCUGGUCAAGUUGACACCUAAAAUUAAUUAUCAUCACAACUCAUUCUGGUUCUGUUAGUGAGAAUAAUCAAGAAUGCAUCCCUAGCUCGUCACUUCCAAUGAGCCAGUCUUCAGUGGACAUGCACCCUGAGUGGAAAAAAAGUAAAAACUGUUUCUAUUGUUGUUUUAAACAACUUAGAUUCAGAGAUUAUUUGUUAUUGCAGGAUAACCUAGCUUAUCCUGACUAAUACAGAGAGAGGAAGUCCUCCUUUAAUCUCCAACAGAAAUAUUAAACAGCAAUCAAUCACACAAUAUUGGUUAAAAAAACAAAGAUAAUAAUCAUUGUUAUUAUUUUCAUUAUUUCUGGAAAUAAAUUUAAAACUAUUGAAAAAACUUACUUUUAAAAUUCUCAACAUCACUAAUCAUCCAGGAAAUGCAAAUCAAAACCACAAUGAGAUGUCAUCUCACCUCAGUUAAAGUGGCUAUUAUCAAAAAGACAGAACAUAGCAGUUGCUGAUGAGGAUACAGAGAAGGGGAAGUUCUCCUACACUGUUCAUGGGAAUGUAGAUUAGUAUGGAAGUCCAUCAGAAAACUAAAAAUAGAACUACCAUAUGAUCCAGCAAUCCUACUGCUAGGGAUGUAACCAAAAGAAAGGCAAUCAGCAUAUAAAAGAGAUAUCUGCACCUCUUUGUUUAUUGCAGCACUAUUCACAAUAGCCAGAUUAUAGAAUCAACAUAUGUGCCCAUCAACAGAUGA
This 15935-nucleotide long non-coding RNA is filed under the name Homo sapiens (human). Its description in RNAcentral is "non-protein coding lnc-FSIP1-4:42". The record is from RNAcentral. Lineage: Eukaryota; Metazoa; Chordata; Mammalia; Primates; Hominidae.